This 77-nucleotide transfer RNA is filed under the name Erysipelotrichia bacterium. Its description in RNAcentral is "tRNA-Ile". It matches the Rfam family "tRNA". Rfam says of the family: Transfer RNA (tRNA) molecules are approximately 80 nucleotides in length. Their secondary structure includes four short double-helical elements and three loops (D, anti-codon, and T loops). The record is from RNAcentral. Lineage: Bacteria; Bacillati; Bacillota; Erysipelotrichia.
GCGAGUGUAGCUCAGUUGGUUAGAGCACCGUGCUGAUAACGCGGGGGUCGUUGGUUCGAACCCAACCAUUCGCACCA